RNAcentral lists this long non-coding RNA (1256 nucleotides) under Homo sapiens (human). Its description in RNAcentral is "novel transcript". The record is from RNAcentral. Lineage: Eukaryota; Metazoa; Chordata; Mammalia; Primates; Hominidae.
GGAAGACACCAGAGCUGUCCCUCUCUCGGCUUGCACUAAGGAGGAGGUCACGUGAGCACACAGUGAGAAGGCGGAGGACCAUCUGCAAGCAGGAAGAGAGCCCUCGCUAGAACCCCCCACGGUGGCAUCUGAUAGUGGACUUCUAGCUUCCAGAACUGAACUCAUAAAUGUCACAUCAGGCUGCCUCUUGGUGAAUUUUUAAUCAACGGGGAGAAUUUCAGCUACAAAUAGACCAAGAAUCAAGAGGCCCACUAUUGAUCGGUCAAAGUGGCACUUAUGAACCUGAGGUUGAAGCAGUUUGGAUAAAAGGAUUCUGGGCUUUCGAUGGCCCCAGAGACAUCUUUUUCCAUCAAGUCCAGUAAGAUCACUCCGGCUAUUACAUGGAGGGUGGACUGAAGGAACAAGGACAGGGAACAGGAAUGGCAGUAAAGAAACCAGGAGACUAUUGAGAUGAUCCUGACAAGAAAUGGCAACUUGGACUACGGCAGUGGCAAUAGAGCUCAUCCCUUUCCCCACAUCUCAGCAUGAUAUAACAAGAGUUGCCUGGGGCCUCAUGGCCCAAUGGGGCCCAGGCCUCAAAUAAAUCUGCAGAGAAGUCUUGCAGCCUGUUGGCACCUGGGCACGGGAGAUUCCAAGAUGAAUUGGGUCCUAUCCUUGAGGAGACCAUACAUGUUAGGGAGGUUGUUGGAUACAUGAGCAGAUACAACACAUGGCAGAACGUGUUGGAUGGAGGCUGAGCACCGGCUUGCUGAUCGGUACAGCUGAGAACAUGUUGAAUUUGAUGUGCCUGUGGAUAUUUGAGUCUGGAACAUUGAAGACAAGUUUGGUCUGGAGAUGUAGACUGGGGAUAUCUCAGCACACAGAUGAUAACUGAAAUGAUGGAGCGGAUGAUAUAAACUGGAGAGAGUCUGGUGUGGGAAGAGUCUUCCCUGAGGUGGCCGAAAGAUGUAAUUCUUACUCCAAAGACUGAAAUAGAGACAAGAGAAGCUGAAGUUACAGGGUUUUGUCAUUGGGAAGACAGUAGAGUGUGUCAUAUCCCAAGAGUGAAGCAAGGACAAACCAAAGAACAACUGGGAAGAUCUGGGAGAAAAAGGGGUCUUACUUUGUUGCCAAGGCUGGCUUCAAACUCCUGACUUCAAGAGAUCCUCCCACCCCACCCACCCAAAGUGCUGGGAUUACAGGUGUGCGCCACUGUGCCUAGCGGGUCAUCAGUCUUUGAGAUGCUGUUGACAAAGCCAUUUGAUGAUAUCAAAGAA